AUUGAACGCUGGCGGCAGGCCUAACACAUGCAAGUCGAGCGGAUGAAGGGAGCUUGCUCCUGGCUUCAGCGGCGGACGGGUGAGUAAUGCCUAGGAAUCUGCCUGGUAGUGGGGGAUAACGUCCGGAAACGGGCGCUAAUACCGCAUCCGUCCUGAGGGAGAAAGUGGGGGAUCUUCGGACCUCACGCUAUCUGAUGAGCCUAGGUCGGAUUAGCUAGUUGGUGGGGUAAAGGCCUACCAAGGCGACGAUCCGUAACUGGUCUGAGAGGAUGAUCAGUCACACUGGAACUGAGACACGGUCCAGACUCCUACGGGAGGCAGCAGUGGGGAAUAUUGGACAAUGGGCGAAAGCCUGAUCCAGCCAUGCCGCGUGUGUGAAGAAGGUCUUCGGAUUGUAAAGCACUUUAAGUUGGGAGGAAGGGCAGUAAGUUAAUACCUUGCUGUUUUGACGUUACCAACAGAAUAAGCACCGGCUAACUUCGUG
Molecule: ribosomal RNA, 484 nt
Filed under: uncultured bacterium
Lineage: Bacteria
Description: partial 16S ribosomal RNA
Rfam family: Bacterial small subunit ribosomal RNA
Source: RNAcentral